RNAcentral lists this ribosomal RNA (449 nucleotides) under uncultured cyanobacterium. Its description in RNAcentral is "bacterial SSU rRNA". It matches the Rfam family "Bacterial small subunit ribosomal RNA", at positions 28 to 524 of the family's 1533-position model. The record is from RNAcentral. Lineage: Bacteria; Bacillati; Cyanobacteriota.
GAUGAACGCUGGCGGUAUGCUUAACACAUGCAAGUCGAACGAAGUCUUCGGACUUAGUGGCGGACGGGUGAGUAACGCGUGAGAAUCUGCCUACAGAUUGGGGAUAACGUCGGGAAACUGACGCUAAUACCGAAUAUGCCGAGAGGUAAAAGAUUUAUUGUCUGUAGAUGAGCUCGCGUCUGAUUAGCUAGUUGGUGGGGUAAAGGCCUACCAAGGCGACGAUCAGUAACUGGUCUGAGAGGAUGACCAGUCACACUGGGACUGAGACACGGCCCAGACUCCUACGGGAGGCAGCAGUGGGGAAUUUUCCGCAAUGGGCGAAAGCCUGACGGAGCAAUACCGCGUGCGGGAGGAAGCUUUUUGGAGUGUAAACCGCUUUUCUCAGGGAAGAUGAUGACGGUACCUGAGGAAUCAGCAUCGGCUAACUUCGUGCCAGCAGCCGCGGUAAU